CCUACGGGAGGCAGCAGUGGGGAAUAUUGGUCAAUGGCCGCAGGUCUGAACCAGCCAAGUCGCGUGAGGGAUGACGGUCCUAUGGAUUGUAAACCUCUUUUGUCUGGGAGCAAAGGGCGUCACGUGUGGCGCCUUGCGUGUACUUUACGAGCAAGGAUCGGCUAACUCCGUGCCAGCAGCCGCGGUAAUGGGAGGGGUGCGAGGUUUAUCCGGAUUUAUUGGGUUAAAGGGGGCGGAGGGGGGAAUGUCAAGGCGGCGUGAAAAUCUCGGGGCUCACCCCUGACGUGCCGUUGAAACUGGCAGUCUUGAGUGAGUGAGAGGUAGGCGGAAUGCGUGGUGUAGCGGUGAAAUGCAUAGAUAUCACGAAGAACUCCGAUUGCGAAGGCAGCAUACUGGAACGCAACUGACGCUGAUGCACGAAAGCGUGGGUAUCGAACAGGAUUAGAUACCCGAGUAGUC
Molecule: ribosomal RNA, 459 nt
Filed under: uncultured bacterium
Lineage: Bacteria
Description: partial 16S ribosomal RNA
Rfam family: Bacterial small subunit ribosomal RNA
Source: RNAcentral